CUUGAGUACAAAGAGCCUGCCCUAAGGAUGUUGAGAGUGAUGAUUUAGGGUAUCUGACAGAUGAAAUUUCUGUAUCCCCUGAUGGUAGUUUGUAUUUCUGUGGGAUCAGUGGUGAUAUCCCCUUUAUCAUUUUCUAUUGCAUCUAUUUGAUGGGUACAUAUAUAUUUAGGAUAGUUAACUCUUCUUGUUGCAUUGAUCCCUUUAGCAUUAUGUAAUGGCCUUCUUUGUCUCUUUUGAUCUUUGUUGGUUUAAAGUUUGUUUUAUCAGAGACUCAAUCGCAACUGCUGCUUUUUUUUUUUUUUUUUUUUUUGCUUUCCAUUUGCUUGGUAAAUAUACCUCCAUCCCUUUAUUUUGAGCCUCUGUGUGUCUUUGCACAUGAGAUGGGUCUCCUGAAUACAGCACACCGAU
This 408-nucleotide long non-coding RNA is filed under the name Pan troglodytes (chimpanzee). RNAcentral describes it as "long non-coding RNA NONPTRT002241". Lineage: Eukaryota; Metazoa; Chordata; Mammalia; Primates; Hominidae. The record is from RNAcentral.